RNAcentral lists this long non-coding RNA (1049 nucleotides) under Monodelphis domestica (gray short-tailed opossum). RNAcentral describes it as "lncRNA (ENSMODG00000048235.1)". Lineage: Eukaryota; Metazoa; Chordata; Mammalia; Didelphimorphia; Didelphidae. The record is from RNAcentral.
UAGGCAUGGCUUAAGUACGGGUGUAAGCAUUUCUCAUUGUUCAGCAAGGAGUUUUCUCCCCUAAAGCAGGCCCAAGUAUGGGUGGAGUAGAGGUCCUCCCAUUUCUGAUCCAAGUAGAGUUCUCACAUUUUAGAUCUAAGUAGCUUCACUGUUUAAAAUGGGGAAUGGUCUUAACCAAAUGUUCUAAGGUAGAGUCUGAGAAUCUUUUAACAUUCACAAAUCUGAGAAAUUUCAAGAUUCACAGAUGACAAACUCCUUGAAGAAUGUUCUUUUAUCUUUCUUUGUAUGCCCAACUAAGCAUAGUGUCUAGCACAGAAGUCAGCACUGGUGUACAACGAGAAUGGGACGAAGAGGCAAUUGUGAUUGUUUUUUUCUACCCUCAAAAGACUUAUUUUUACAAUAUUUUUGCUUCCCCCCCUUUGAUAUCUCAUCUUAUUACUGCAAGGCAGUUUUAACAUAUUUAGUACACUCAAGUGUGACUGAUCUAUCAUUGGUGUAGAGAAGCGGUCGGUGGUUUUUGAAGGCCAUGCCAGUUGGAUCCAGGCUGGCACAAGGCUUGUCAAGCUAUAAGACUUUGAGUGCAGGACUACUGGUGGAGCUCAUUGAAUGUCAGCUGUCUUAAGAUCAGCUGGAUUAAUUUCAGAAAGGCUUAUCACCUGAGGAUUAGACAAGAGGAGGCAAAUGAGAGAGGUUACCUUAUGAAUAGUUAUAAGGAAGACCCACGAGGAUGAACUUCUGCCGUUUCAAAGUAUUGAAAAUAUGGUGCUAAAUGCAUGGUGCAUUUAGCACGGUGAAAAUAUGGUGCAGAAAAUGAAUGAACAAAAAAAUUCUUCCUACCAAAGUCCUUGGCACUGUCAAAUGAAUCAAGUUUGGAAAAGGCUACUAUUUCACCAGUAGAAAUGGCAUUAAAGAAGAGAUAUUACCAUUUGCUUUGCCAUUGUACCCUAAGGAAUGUUGGGCCUUUCCAUUUGACUGGCUCCUAAAACUUCCUCUCUGUGUUAUCCUUGUUCAUUAGAAUGCAAGCUCCUUGAGAGCAGCCAAUGUCUGGU